UACGUAGGGGGCAAGCGUUGUCCGGAAUCAUUGGGCGUAAAGAGCGUGUAGGCGGCCCGAUAAGUCCGCUGUGAAAGUCCAGGGCUCAACCCUGGAAUGCCAGUGGAAACUGUCGGGCUAGAGUCCGGAAGAGGCGAGUGGAAUUCCUGGUGUAGCGGUGAAAUGCGCAGAUAUCAGGAGGAACACCGAUGGCGAAGGCAGCUCGCUGGGACGGUACUGACGCUGAGACGCGAAAGCUAGGGGAGCGAACGGG
This 253-nucleotide ribosomal RNA is filed under the name uncultured bacterium. RNAcentral's name for it is "partial 16S ribosomal RNA". It matches the Rfam family "Bacterial small subunit ribosomal RNA", at positions 524 to 776 of the family's 1533-position model. The record is from RNAcentral.